UAGCCGUAAACGAUACUCGCUAGGUGUCGGCCACGGUGCGACCGUUGUCGGUGCCGUAGGGAAGCCGUGAAGCGAGCCACCUGGGAAGUACGGCCGCAAGGCUGAAACUUAAAGGAAUUGGCGGGGGAGCACAACAACGGGUGGAGCUUGCGGUUUAAUUUGGAUUCAACGCCGGAAAUCUUACCGGGACCGACAGCAACAUGAAGGCCAAGCUGAAGACUUUGCCGGAUUAGCUGAGAGGAGGUGCAUGGCGUGUGACUGU
RNAcentral lists this ribosomal RNA (262 nucleotides) under uncultured archaeon. Its description in RNAcentral is "partial 16S ribosomal RNA". It matches the Rfam family "Archaeal small subunit ribosomal RNA", at positions 748 to 1008 of the family's 1478-position model. The record is from RNAcentral.